AACGAACGCUGGCGGCAUGCCUAACACAUGCAAGUCGAACGAGACCUUCGGGUCUAGUGGCGUCCGGGUGCGUAACGCGUGGGAACCUGCCCUUGGGUUCGGAAUAACUCCCCGACAGGGGUGCUAAUACCGGAUCAUGUCUUCGGACCAAAGAUUUAUUGCCUUUGGUUGGGCCCGCGUUGGAUUCGCUAGUUGGUAGGGUAAAAGCCUACUAAGGCGCGGAUCCAUAGCUGGUUUGAGAGGAUGAUCAGCCACACUGGGACUGAGACACGGCCCAGACUCCUACGGGAGGCAGCAGUGGGUAAUAUUGGACAAUCGGCGAAAGCCUGAUCCAGCAAUGCCGCGUGAGUGAUGAAGGCCUUAGGGUUGUAAAGCUCUUUUAACCGGGAUGAUAAUGACAGUACCGGGAGAAUAAGCUCCGGCUAACUCCGUG
Molecule: ribosomal RNA, 433 nt
Filed under: uncultured bacterium
Lineage: Bacteria
Description: partial 16S ribosomal RNA
Rfam family: Bacterial small subunit ribosomal RNA
Source: RNAcentral